CGGCGAGUGAAGCGGCAACAGCUCAAAUUUGAAAUCUGGCCCUAGCGGUCCGAGUUGUAAUUUGUAGAGGAUGCUUUUGGUUAGGUGCCUUCCGAGUUCCCUGGAACGGGACGCCAGAGAGGGUGAGAGCCCCGUACGGUUGGACACCGAGCCUCUAUAUAGCUCCUUCGACGAGUCGAGUAGUUUGGGAAUGCUGCUCUAAAUGGGAGGUAAAUUUCUUCUAAAGCUAAAUACCGGCCAGAGACCGAUAGCGCACAAGUAGAGUGAUCGAAAGAUGAAAAGUACUUUGAAAAGAGGGUUAAAUAGCACGUGAAAUUGUUGAAAGGGAAGCGUUUGCGACCAGACUUUUUCCAGGCGGAUCAUCCGGUGUUCUCACCGGUGCACUUCGCCUGGUUUAGGCCAGCAUCGGUUCCCUUAGGGGGAUAAAGGCCUGGGGAACGUAGCUCCUUCGGGAGUGUUAUAGCCCCUAGCGUAAUACCCUUCGGGGGACCGAGGAACGCGCAUCUGCAAGGAUGCUGGCGUAAUGGUCGUCAACGACCCGUCUUGAAACACGGACCAAGGAGUCGAACAUUUGUG
This 576-nucleotide ribosomal RNA is filed under the name Daldinia childiae. RNAcentral's name for it is "partial large subunit ribosomal RNA". It matches the Rfam family "Eukaryotic large subunit ribosomal RNA", at positions 87 to 686 of the family's 3401-position model. The record is from RNAcentral. Lineage: Eukaryota; Fungi; Ascomycota; Sordariomycetes; Xylariales; Hypoxylaceae.